CUCAAGCUUAUAAAACAGGAAAAUCAAUCGAACAUCUUAAAUACUUCAUACACAAACAUCUUAUCAGUAAUAUUUAUGUUCCGUCCACGGAAAAUAUUAUUUCACGCGCGCGCCAAAGCAAACAAAAAUAAAUAGAUUGUAUACAUAUAUCAUAUAUAUACACAAAUGAAUACGACUCGUACCAAAUAAAGAUAUCAUAUCUACGUAUUACUACGCCGCUUAGUGUUUCAUAGGUAGAACUAAAAUUUAAGACGUGCCUUUUACAUUAGAGCAGUGGUAUCCAACAUGCGGCCCUCGUAUCGCAUGUGGCCCAGUAGAGUAAAUAAUGCAGUUCAAUAAAAGUAUCUUGUAGUAAUUUCAAUUGAUGAUUGCCCAAUACGACGAGCAAAACGUAAUUACCUUAUGGACAAAACAUCUUUGGUGGCGGAUUCCACGUGAUGAUAGGAUUGAAGCGGCGAUACAUUAUAAGUGAAAACAUGUCUAAUGUUUUGUUUUGAAGAUAAUAUGGCUAAAAAACGAAAAAAAAAGAAAUUUUUUAUUUAUUAUACAUUUUCUACAUUUUAUUUUUUUUUUUUUUAUAUGUGAUCCAAGAGAAUUUUCCCCUCACUCAAUGCGGCCCAAUCAAUCAAAACGACUGAACACCACUGGAUACCAGAAAUCUGGUGGCAAGUGCAAGCACAAUAUAAAACAGUCGUUACUAGACAUUACUUGGACGAUCUGUAAUGUAACAACUUUAUAAGCAAUAUGAAUCCAACUUAAUACUAUAUGAUAUAAUGGCGAACUAGUUUAUAACCGAUUUAUUUGAUUUUACACAAAAAUAAUAAUCUUGUUGUAAUCUUUUUUUUAAUGAAAAAUUAUUUUCAUUUAUUCAUUGGAGUAUCUCAAAAAGUCAUGAUAUGAUAAAUUUAACAUCUAAAUUUGAAAAAAUGAGGAAACACUUAAAAUUUUUCACAUUUUAUUAAAAAGAAAUUAAUCUCUAUUAUAUUAUUAUCAUUAGUGUGAGAAAGAAUUUUUAGAUUUUCUAAAAUAUAUGAUUAAAGAAUUAAAGAAUACAUCUUAGGUUUAGUGCAAAUAUCUUAACUCAAGGAUAAUAAAGACAUAUCAUUUUUUAUAACAUUGAUCACUAUUUAUAUAUACCCCAGCAUUCAUUAUACAUGUAGAGUAAAAACUGUGGCAGGACUAGUUAGCUAUAAUCUAACACCAUACUCCAAUCUAUAGAAUCUAUUUAAUUUGUAUUGUACCAAGAUUUUGAUUGGGUUUGAUAUGACCUGUAAAGUAUAUACUUUCAGUUUAAUUAGUUCAUUUUUAUUACAAUGCAAAGCACUGUGAUAAUUUUAAAUACUUUACUUGGCACUUGCAAAAUACAAUAAACUAUGUUGUGCGAAGAAAAACAAUAUUCUCUCCCUUGUUUUAUUGAUGUAAUGAAAUACAAUUAUUACUUCUCAAGAUUUUGUUUAUGUCUCGUCUUAUAUAUAUAUAUAUAUAUAUAUAUAUAUAUAUAUAUAUAUAUAUAUUCUUUUUUAAUAUUUUAAUAAUAACUAAUGCUAAUUAAUUAUUUAUAGACAACUAUUUUCAUAUUUAAAUACAAUUGUUUAUUUGUUAAUUAUUAUAUAACUCCUAUGUUCUUAUCUAACAAAUAAGAGUCAAGAGUUGCUAUGUUCACAUGUACCAACAAAGUUCUAUUUUUUAUAGAUCACAAAGCAGCAAAAGGAUAUUAUAAUUAUCAUAUUAUUUGACAAUCUGAGAAAGAUAGUCAACAUUAAGUUAUUAAUGUUACAAUAGUAUAAUAUGUACAGGAACCUAAGAGGUGGGAUGGUAUGGGCGGCUUCACUCAACGGAAUGCAACAUUUCUUUUAAUGUCUGGUAUCUUAUAAGCGAUAUUGACAGAAAUAUUUCUUUGAUAAUAUUUAACAGAAAACUUAUUUCUCAUAGAUACAAAUUAUAAAAUUUCAAUACUUCUAUAUUACGUUGUAAUAGUUCAAAUAACUUAACAUGUACAUGUAUUUUUUUUAAUACAUUUAUAAAAAAUUA
Molecule: long non-coding RNA, 2031 nt
Organism: Vespa crabro (European hornet)
Lineage: Eukaryota; Metazoa; Arthropoda; Insecta; Hymenoptera; Vespidae
Exons: 2
Source: RefSeq, a predicted model, not a curated record